This 64-nucleotide transfer RNA is filed under the name Agrilinae sp. 1 ACP-2013. Its description in RNAcentral is "tRNA-Arg". Lineage: Eukaryota; Metazoa; Arthropoda; Insecta; Coleoptera; Buprestidae. The record is from RNAcentral.
UAAAUAAGAAGCAAUUAUUGCAGUUAGUUUCGACCUAAAAGUUAGGCAUCAACCGCCCUUAUUU